UACGGAGGGUGCAAGCGUUAUCCGGAUUCACUGGGUUUAAAGGGUGCGUAGGUGGGCAGGUAAGUCAGUGGUGAAAUCUCUGGGCUUAACCCGGAAACUGCCGUUGAUACUAUCUGUCUUGAAUAUAGUGGAGGUGAGCGGAAUAUGUCAUGUAGCGGUGAAAUGCUUAGAUAUGACAUAGAACAUCGAUUGCGAAGGCAGCUCGCUACACUAUGAUUGACACUGAGGCACGAAAGCGUGGGGAUCAAGCAGG
This 253-nucleotide ribosomal RNA is filed under the name uncultured bacterium. RNAcentral describes it as "partial 16S ribosomal RNA". It matches the Rfam family "Bacterial small subunit ribosomal RNA", at positions 524 to 776 of the family's 1533-position model. The record is from RNAcentral.